RNAcentral lists this ribosomal RNA (253 nucleotides) under uncultured bacterium. RNAcentral's name for it is "partial 16S ribosomal RNA". It matches the Rfam family "Bacterial small subunit ribosomal RNA", at positions 524 to 776 of the family's 1533-position model. The record is from RNAcentral.
UACGGGGGGAGCAAACGUUGUUCGGAAUCACUGGGCGUAAAGGGCGUGUAGGCGGCUGAAUAAGUGGGAUGUUAAAUCCCCCGGCUCAACCGGGGACCUGCAUCUCAUACUGUUCAGCUCGAGCACAUCAGAGGAGACUGGAAUUCCCUGUGUAGCGGUGAAAUGCGUAGAUAUCAGGAGGAACACCGGUGGCGAAGGCGGGUCUCUGGGCCGAGAUUGACGCUGAGGAGCGAAAGCGUGGGGAGCGAACAGG